Molecule: unclassified non-coding RNA, 240 nt
Filed under: Mortierella sp.
Lineage: Eukaryota; Fungi; Mortierellomycota; Mortierellomycetes; Mortierellales; Mortierellaceae
Description: partial internal transcribed spacer region
Rfam family: Eukaryotic small subunit ribosomal RNA (bases 1-46)
Source: RNAcentral
AAGUCGUAACAAGGUUUCCGUAGGUGAACCUGCGGAAGGAUCAUUCAAAAUAAAAGUGAUUUUAUGGCACUUUUAAAAAAAAUCCAUAUCCACCUUGUGUGCAAUGUAAUGAGAGGGAGAAGAACUUUUUUUUUUGAUCUUCUCUCUUUUAUAUAUUAUAUCAACUCUUUGCUUUGAAACCUGUUUGUCUGAUAACUUAAUUCAAAAAUACAACUUUCAACAACGGAUCUCUUGGCUCUC